GGGUCAGUAGGUUGGUCGUGCCACCGGUACGUACUGGUCUCACUGAUUCCUCCUUCCUGAAGAACCGUAGUGCCAUUAAUUUGGUGUUGCGGGGAAACAGGACUGUUACUUUGAAAAAAUUAGAGUGUUUAAAGCAGGCUAACGCUUGAAUACAUUAGCAUGGAAUAAUGAAGUAGGACGAUCGAUCCUAUUUUGUUGGUUUCUAGGAUUGACGUA
Molecule: ribosomal RNA, 216 nt
Filed under: Glomeromycotina sp.
Lineage: Eukaryota; Fungi; Glomeromycota
Description: partial small subunit ribosomal RNA
Rfam family: Eukaryotic small subunit ribosomal RNA (bases 40-216)
Source: RNAcentral